GACGAACGCUGGCGGCGUGCUUAACACAUGCAAGUCGAACGGAAAGGCCCUGCUUGCAGGGUACUCGAGUGGCGAACGGGUGAGUAACACGUGGGUGAUCUGCCCUGCACUUCGGGAUAAGCCUGGUAAACUGGGUCUAAUACCGGAUAGGAGCCAUUUUUAGUGUGAUGGUUGGAAAGUUUUUUCGGUGUAGGAUGAGCUUGCGGCCUAUCAGCUUGUUGGGGGGGUAAUGGCCUACCAAAGCGGCGGCGGGUAGCAGGCCUGAGAGGGUGGACCGCGACAUUGGGACCGAGGUACGGCACAGGUAGCUACGGGAGGGAGCAGUGGGGAAUCUUGCCCAAUGGGCGCCAGGCUGAUGCAGCGACGCCGCGUGGGGGAUGACGGCCUUCGGGUUGUAAACUCCUUUCGCUAGGGACGAAGCUUUUUGUGACGGUACCUAGAUAAGAAGCCCCGGCUAACUACGUG
This 465-nucleotide ribosomal RNA is filed under the name uncultured bacterium. RNAcentral describes it as "partial 16S ribosomal RNA". It matches the Rfam family "Bacterial small subunit ribosomal RNA", at positions 28 to 507 of the family's 1533-position model. The record is from RNAcentral.